Molecule: RNA transcript, 3428 nt
Organism: Tachysurus fulvidraco (yellow catfish)
Lineage: Eukaryota; Metazoa; Chordata; Actinopteri; Siluriformes; Bagridae
Gene name: interferon-induced protein 44-like
Exons: 8
Source: RefSeq, a predicted model, not a curated record
AUAAAUAAAAUCACAUAAAUCUUAGUCAGUUGAAAUCUUCUUCCAGCUGUUUAGGUAGAGUGUCUGAUCUUCUGCAGUCUUGCAGUAGCAUUUAUGACAAUUGUAAUUGUAUUAAAUUCAUAUUUAAUUGUUUCAUUUCUGUAACCAAGUUUUCUACUUUCAGAAGUUUAUUAGCAAACAUCAGUUGCUUUUGUUCCUCUUUCCUUUCCCGUUUAGUUUCUCUACAUCUCUUUCUUUUUACCUUUCUCAUUCAUUUUUGUUUACUUUGCUUUUGGACAGGAAUGUCUCCUAAAGUGUAUUUGGGUCGAGAGGGAUUCAUAAAUCCUACAACUCCAUUCUCACCUAUUCUUACAACAACUGUUAGCUUGAGAAUUAGAUUCUAUGUUAAAAUAACCAGUGAUGGUAUUCCUUAGGCAAAGUCAUUAAUCCUAAACAAAUAAGUAUCAGCAUUUAUGGUCUCAAAAUGCAGUAAUGACACAUAUCUGAAAAACACACAAACUUGUAACAGGCAACAGACCCAUCUCUGGAACCCUAACUCGAGGACUUGAGGGAUGUGGUAGCCUAGUGGUUAAGGUGUUGGACAACUGACUGGAAGGUCAAAUCCCAGGUCCACCAAGCUGCCACUGCUGGGCCCUUGAGCAAGGCCCUUAACCCUCAAUUGCUUUGUUGUAUAAAUUGUAAGUCACUCUGGAUAAGAGAAUCUUCUAAAUGCUGUAAAUUUUAGCUGUGUUGUUUUCUGUAGCUCCAGUGAAGCAUCAGUGAUUUCAGUGUGGCUGAAAUGACAAUAAAAGCUUCUUGACUUGUGUGUGUAGUGUGUAGGGGGAACUACAUGCGUGUGUGUGUGUGUGUGUGUGUGUGUGUGUGUGUGUGUGUGUGUGUGUGUGUGUGUGUGUGUGUGUGAGAUUGAGUAACGGAAAGAGUAGGUAGGACCUGGGCUGAAAAGCGAAAACAAAAGCACAGAACCCUACUGAGCUCAUAGUUGGUUUUUAAAAGAAGAUCAGCUUCAAAUUAGGAAAUCUGCCCAAAAUGGGUGGACAGAAAUCAAAACCAGAAUCAGAACCAGAAGUUUUCAAGCAACCUUGGAGAAACAUCGACUGGAACCCGAACAAUCUGAAAUCUGAGUUAAGUGAACUUCUUACAUUUAUGGAAAACCACCAAGACAUCAAGCAGUUCAGAAUACUGCUUCAUGGACCAGCUGGAGCUGGGAAGUCCUGCUUUAUAAACUCAGUGAUGAGCGUAUACAAGGGAAGAAUUGUAUUCAGGGCAGCUGAGGAGAACUCUGCUGGAAAGAGCUGCACAAAUAAAUACAAAACUUACAAAAUCACUGACAAAGAUUCUGUCACUUUGCCGUUUGUCAUCAGUGAUGUUAUGGGUCUGGAAGAUGAAGAUAAAGACGGAAUUCAUCCUAAUGAUAUCAAAAAUGUGCUGCAUGGCCAUGUCAAAGAAGGCUAUAAAUUUAAUCCUGUUUCUCAACUGACUUAUGAUGAUCCAGGCUACAUAGAUAAACCCAGUGUGAAUGACAAAGUUUACUGUUUGGUGAGCGUAUUGGAUGCAAUGUGCAUCUCCUUAAUGGAGAAUAAGAUGAUUCAGAAGAUGAAAGCUGUCCGAGAAUCUGCCCUCGAAUUGGCGCCCCCCGCCGAGGCUGACGUGGGGGAACUCCCAAGCCCUGUUCCAGGCCGAUGCUAAACCCUGUAUGAGAUGUGUUCGGUGAAGACUUUUUUCAAGAACUUGUCCUUUACACAAAGUGAUGCAAGCCGAGUUGCACAGCAGCCCACAGCACAAUGCACACUUGUUAACACGCUUCUGUUUCAUGUGUUUUGUAUUGAUUUAUGUCUUGUCUCUGCCCACAUCCUGCCACUCAUCACUGAUCCCCCUUGUGUGUCAGGAUUAAUCUCACCUCUUCUCUGACUAGUGUCUCUGUAUCCUCUGUGCACCCUGACAGCUUUCUUUAACUUAUCUGUGAACCCCAGGCAUCCCUCAUGUGGUUCUGAUGACAAAAAUCGAUACUGAUGUCUGCCCACUGGUUACAAAGGAUCUAGCUGAGGUUUACAAAAGCAGGAAAAUCAAAGAAAAGAUGCAGGAAUGCAGCCACACAAUUGGUCCACCACUGAAAUGCAUCUUCCCAGUGAGCAACUAUUAUAAGGAGACUGAAAUAGAUGACAAAAAAGAUGUGCUUAUUCUGUCAGCAUUAAAGGGAAUUGUAGGAUUUGUUAACGAUUACACUGAAGACAUAAACAUCUGAGAAUUUGCUAAAAACUUAAUUUGGAAAACAGAAUUGGGACGUAGGUCUUUAAUAUCAUCAAAUCUUUAUUGAGCAAAUAUAUUAAUCUUGAAUAACUACUUCAACUAUAACUACAAACACAAAGUCAUAAAAUUGUAAUUUGUGCCUGUGAUUACUUGUAAUGACGCGUCACAUGGCUGAUGAUCCAUCUGCAGCUUUUAUUAAUCGUAGACAAAACAUGCACGGUCAGGGCAGGCAAACACAACAACAUAGUAUAGGCAAAAAUCGUAAAUGGGAAACUGGCAAAAAGGUCAGGACAGGCAGGAAACAAUCGAGAAACCAAAGACAGAAACAGAGUCAAAAAACCAGAACAGGAAACAAACAUGGGACACGCUCAGACUGACUGCAAAAGCAAAUCGAGACUUCGCACUGGUGUCAAGUUCAAGUGCGCUUAAGUAGUGUGGGAAAUUGGUUACAGCUGGCUGCGUAAUUAGCCCCGGUGCGGGCAUUGUGGGAACUGCACAAUUGCCUAUUAUUAAAUUUAAGCCUCUCAUCUGCUAUGCUACAGCUCAGUGUUAUUUUUAAUGUUAUUCAUACAUUCAAUCUUCUAUUACAUAAUGACUAUCAGUGAUGUCAUAUUUGACUUUGAUUAACAAUUUUUUUAUUGUAUUUCCAAUUUUUUAUCUAUUCACUAUAAUAUUUUGUUUAUUUUUCUGAGAACUAUAAUUAUUGCAUGUAUAAACAUUUUGUAAUGGGGUUUAAAGCUGUGGGUUGUUUUCUUGUUCAUUAUUAUAGCAUCAUCAAAAUAAACAAUUGUGCCAUAAAUGUGUCAUUAGUGUAAACAAACAAAAUAGUAGAAAUGUUAUAAAUAAUAAUUACAGUGAAGACCUGCGAACUCCUGUUUGGUACCUGAUGUCUCCGGCUCCUUCAGCAGUUCAUUUCUUCUUGUCUUGAGGUCUAUUGAAAAAGGCCCUGGUUCUCAGAGUAGUAAGGUCUUUUACACAGGAAUCACAUCAAUUAAGUCAAUCUGACUGUUUAAACCUGGUGCAUAUUAAUAUCUAUUAUUAUCUGUUAACAUGUAUUCUAUUAACCUUUAUAUUAUUCUUUAUAAUAACCUUUUGUUUUAUGUUUGUUCUGUAAAGCUGCUUUGAGACAAUGUCAAAUGUAAAAAGCACUGUACAAAUAAACUCGAAUUGAAUAGAAUUGA